GAUGAAGAACGUAGCGAAAUGCGAUACGUAAUGUGAAUUGCAGAAUUCAGUGAAUCAUCGAGUCUUUGAACGCACAUUGCGCCCCCUGGUAUUCCGGGGGGCAUGCCUGUCCGAGCGUCAUUGCUGCCCUCAAGCACGGCUUGUGUGUUGGGCCUCCGUCCUCCUCCCGGGGGACGGGCCCGAAAGGCAGCGGCGGCACCGCGUCCGGUCCUCGAGCGUAUGGGGCUUCGUCACCCGCUCUUGUAGGCCCGGCCGGCGCUUGCCGACACAUCAAUCUUUUUUCCAGGAUGACCUCGGAUCAGGUAGGGAUACCCGCUGAACUUAAGCAUAUCAAUAUGCGGAGGA
RNAcentral lists this unclassified non-coding RNA (345 nucleotides) under soil metagenome. Its description in RNAcentral is "partial contains 5.8S ribosomal RNA, internal transcribed spacer 2, and large subunit ribosomal RNA". The stretch from base 1 to 120 matches the Rfam family "5.8S ribosomal RNA", at positions 35 to 154 of the family's 154-position model. The record is from RNAcentral.